UUAAGACUGUAACAGCCGUAUUCAUAAAAAAUCCUUAAAUGAGGAAUGAUCAGCUUAUUAGCUAAUCCGCUGUUUAGGCUUAAUAAGCCGUUGAUAAGAACCAUGAUUUAUAAACGUUUAUUAGGGGCUUCUUAACUAAUAAGCAGAUUAGACGCGUUAUGUUGGCAUCUUGGCGCAUCAUAGACUAAAAUAUGGCUGAACAUUAAAUUAAAAAAAAAGUUUGACAGCAGCACUAGCGGCCAAUCGUAAUAUCAUGAAGAAGUUGAUUUACUAUUUUGACUAAUUUUCGGAAUUAUCUCUUAUUAAAAUAGCUUCUGUGCCACAAAAAUAAUUAAAGAUUGCUGCAUGGCCGGAAAUUUUAUAAAACUUGUUUCAAUAUUAUGUGGAAUGGAGUCGAAAGAAGUGGGGUUCUUUCAAACUAACCGAGAAGUGCAUAAUUAGCGAAGAGAAGAAGUCGAUGCCAGAUACCGUACCAGACCGCACUCGCCUCCGCAAGAAGAACCAUUGAAUAAUGGUUCAUGAGUUCACACUAAUUUAUUCUGGUUGCGGCAGAAAUUCACAACGGGUCAACAAAACGAAGUCCAUUCAGACUCACUAAAUCAGAUCCUGAAAGUACCAUCAUUAGCCACUGUUAUUGUUGAAUAACUCCAGGCUUUGGAAGAAAAGCUGUGGCCUGUGAACAGCUGUGAAUAUUGGUCAGAGAAGUGUAACUGACUCCGUACACUGCAAGUCCCAGCAGGAAAUCAGCAAGGAACCUAAAAGAAAAAAAACAUCAAAAUGAAAACCUAGCUUGAUUUAGGUUGAAGUAAUAAAAUUGUUCUAAUUUAAUUGGUGUUUUAUUUUACUAAUUAAAUAUAUUUUUUGACUUGUUAA
Long non-coding RNA from Cydia fagiglandana, 873 nucleotides. RefSeq lists it as uncharacterized. Lineage: Eukaryota; Metazoa; Arthropoda; Insecta; Lepidoptera; Tortricidae. The transcript has 3 exons. The record is from RefSeq and is a predicted model, not a curated record.